GAAAUACAAUAACUACUUUCACAUAAUGAGCAGAGUCCCCUUCAAUGGAAAUCUUCAAAACGCUUUGCAAGUUUUAGUCUUUUGAUUUCUGUUGGCUACAGGGUAAGUCACAUGGCUAAUUGCCUGCACAAUGCUUUGAAAAGAUAACCCUUGGAAUUUAGAUUUUUCUAAAAUUUUCAGUAGCCUUUCUCAUAUUUGUCAGCAGUGUCCUUGUGUUUAACUUCCAUGUUUACUUUCCUUGGUUAAGACUUUUCCAUCACCUUCUCUUGGGUGUUUCUUAGGUAUAUGUUAUGUAUGCCUUUUAGAUGGUUGUACCUUACAGUGUAAUAAUUAAUUUUUAGACAAACCUGUUCUGCCUAUUGUUUCAAAUAUUGUUGGAUCCUCUGUCUGUCUAGUUCAUGGCUGAUAUUCUUCACACAAAAUUCUUCUUCCAAAAGCCCAGAAAACAUUUCUAGUUUCACUCAUUCUUAUUACAAAAAUAAGAUUGACAACUUGUGGAUGUGCUCACAGAGGUAUAAUGAGCUCCUUCUGUGCCUGCACCAGGGAUGAGGGCUUGUGGGGUAUGCUGACCACUGGAGAGUGGGGAGGCAAGAGGGAGAACAGAAGGGAGAAGGAGUGAAGUCUUACCUGCUGCUGCUCUCCAUGGAAUGAAGGCCGCCGCCGCUGCUGCUAUAGCAGCAUUGGCUCAGGUGGACGCAGCCCAAAGGCUGGGCUCCUAAGAUCCAUCCCCAUGCCCCACUUGCUCCCCUUGCCUUCAAAUAUGUUACAAGGUAUAGGGCUGUGCCUAGUGCAGCAAAGAUGCCCUGGGCACUGGGGGGAGCAUGAUUUUGUUCAUCCCUUAACUUCCAGGUAGACUGCUGGGUGUGGCACUUCUCUGUCUGGCUCCUGUGUCUGGACAAGAGUGGCACAGGGUGGUGUACACUGUGGCAAAGAUUCCUGGGGUCAGGGGGUGACUCCCUCAAUAGUCAGUGGCAGGGGCUGGUGCCCAGUUGCCCCCAUCCUAGUUAUGCUACUGCCUGUUCCCAGUGCAGGUCUGGAAUUUCUCUGAAUGGUGAGGAAAAAUAGGAAACCAGGUUGUGAUACUUAAAUAACAAGAACCUGCAACAAAUUUGAGCCUGACAAAAGUAAGAGAAAAUCUGAAUGUUGUUCAAUCAGAGAAAUUGAUUUCUGAAAGUGUGUGGAUGAGGUGCUAAAAGAAAAAGGAGAAUUUCAACUGACCUUUUCAUUUUUCUAUAUAUUUUACAGUGUUUGUGAUUUAACUGUACAAACAGACUCCUGAUUUUCUUAAUCUGGAUAAAAGAAUCUCAUAUGGAACUUCCCUUGAAGUUUGGACUUUUGGGUAAAACCUAUCUGCUUCUCAAAUCUGUUCCCAUAUGCAACCCAGUUAUUGAAAUGCAUGAUUAAACCCUACAAGUCUUCCAAAUAGAAGGUGUAAACAGCAGUAGUUAGAGAAAUGGAUUAGAAAUUGCUAAGACCUGGGCACUGCAACUGCCAGCUUUAGAAGUGCUCUGACAGAUCCUGGAUAAGUGGUAAUCUUCUUAAAUGUUUAUAUUUUGCUACAGUAAGCUUCGUUAAUAGGCAAACCCUGUAAUAGGAGGACAUCGCCCAUAACAAUCUGGUUUGGCACUGCAUGUAGCCAACUAAUUUGAAAAGAGACUUGAUGUUUUCAACAGGCUGGGGGAGAAUGGAACCUGAGCUGUGAUACUGAGAAUAUUUUGAUCAGUAGGCACCAAAUUGGACACACAGAACAAACCAUGUCAGUUAAACUUGCUUAAUGGCAGUCCUAGCUUGUUAAAUGUUUCUCUGAAGUAAAAUAGAAAAAGUCAGUGGGAGAAAAUAGCUAGCAGUUGCUCCUGAAUCAGAACUGGAUUAAUGUCCCACCCAGAGCAAAAAACCAUCUGAAGAGAUACUGUUUGUGACGUAAGAUACCAUAACUCCUACUAUAUAACCUGUGAAAAAGGUACCCUGGGUAUGAACCCAACAUUUUUUGGUACCCUUGCACAUGAAAAUGCUUUCUUUUUGCUGGCUAAAUGGCAUAGCUAAAUCCCCAUCAACAUGACUGACCAGGGAAAACUGGGCAUCAGGUGUCCAACACUCACUUUUAAUACUCAAAUGGAGUAUCUGAGAGGAGAGGCGGGACAGGAAAGAGGGGGGAAAGGGGAGUAACAGAAAACCAAGUUUUUGAAGACAGGUCCAGUUCAUUUUAAAUAGCAUACCUUUCCAUCACUCAUGCUUCCACUUCCCAGCAUUAUUUAACAUGUGAAACCAACAUUCACUAGACAUCCAAGAAACGAUAUCAGAAGGGCUUUGGAGAGGGUGGGGGACAAGGUAGAGGUAGUGGCUGAACCUGAGGGAGUAGAAGAAAUGUCUGAAGCUGAGAGAGUGGAAGAAAUGUCUUUAAAUGCAAAAUAGGACAUUUGUUAAUCCUAACUUGAACUGCUAUUAGGGUGGAAUACAUAACAAGGGGCUCCACCCAACAUAUCCUCAUUUUUGAGUAAAUUUUAAGAGAGUUGUAGUGUAAUAUUUCCAAAAUAGAUGGCAGGUGCUUUUCCUGGAGGGAUAAUUGAGCUCCAUGUGAUGUGUUUUUCUUUGUCUGAAAGUAUUCUCCCCCAUUUUCUCUUUAUACCUUCCACUUCACUGGCUUACAUAAUCUUUACAGUAUUUUGGCCUAUUUUGUUUCCUCUGUGGAGGAAUUUGGAGGCCCUUCUGUCCCAAAGGGUUUCAUCUCUUCUUUCAGAAUGAAAUAGGUUUUCCCAUUUGAAGAAGUUGGGCUUGAGCCUGGGACUUGAUAUCCUGCCAACUGGAAUCUGAAAACUGUGUAAAUAGUUUGUUAGGUUGUCUUGUCAGUUUCAGCUAUGUAUCUAAGCUGUUGAUGGAUAUUUCAGCAGAGGGCCAAGUCUGUGCAUCUACUGUAAUGAAAAAGAAAUUAACACCUUCAAUUUAAAAAUGAUUUAAACAUCAUAUCAAUAUCUUCUUUAUGAAUAUUGACAUGAAAAUAACUAUGAAGAUUUGCGGAGACAUCUCUGAACAAAAACUUCAUACCAGCCUUUGACAACUGAGCCCAAUCUCAUUUUAAAGAAAAAUAAUCUCAUGUACCCUUCCUUCAGCACCUCAAUACCUUCAAGAAAAAUGAUGCUGUUUAAUCUUACAUAGAAACACAACACUAAUCCUUUCUUCCUGUUUUUUUUUACCAGACUACAACUCCCCCUAGUCCAAAACAAAUCAGGUGGCAUCCAUACAACCUUGAAGCAAAGGUGUCCAUUAAGUUCACAUUGGUCUGCCUGGUUAAAAGAAAACCAGAGUUCCAUCUAUGGAGAGUUCCAGGAAUUUUGACAAAAAACCCAGAAUGGAACUGGAAAAACUGGAGAGUGUGAACAGUCCCAAGGAUACCAGGAUUCUGGUUUCCUGAUGAAUCAGGCCUUGAAGCAUAGCCUUUACAGUCUCCAGAGCCAUCUCCUGAAGUCUGGGUGCUCUGUAAGGGUGCGUCUGUGUUUGCACAGGCAUUUGCGCAAGGCGGGUGCACAGAAGGAGACAAGAAGGAGCACCCAGCAGGAGAGCAAUGAGGACUCAUAGCUCUGCAGCUAAGCUCCAGAUGCCUAUGGGUGAAACCCCAUGAGAGGAAUCUGCAGCAGAGGAGUGGAAGACUGUCACCUCUGGACCCAGGCAGCAGGAGCCAGCAUCUGCUUUCCCAUUGCAUCUGGGGAACAGAUACGGGGCCCUGGCAGUCUUGGUGGAGGAGGCAGUGGAGGAACAUUCUCCAGCAGGAGGAUAUAGAGGAGGUGGUCCCUGCAACCCCCGCUGGGCAGGCUGGGGGACCAUUGCCCAGGCAGAAGAAGAAACUCCGAGUUAUUGUGGUGGGCAACUCAAUCCUGAGAGGCAUGGAGGGGCCGAUCUGCCAACCAGAUCCUAUGGUGAGAAAGGUCUCCUGCAUGACCUGGAGCAAAGAUCAGUGACAUCACUGAAAAGAUUCCUGAACUCAUCAAGCCCUCUGACUACUACCCCAUGGUCCUUGUCCAUGUGAGCACUAAUGGUGUGGCUGGGAGUAGUCCUGACCGCAUCAUGAAGGACUUCCAUGAGCUGGGGGUUGGGCUUAGGAAGUCAGGGGCACAGGUGGUAUUCUCCUCCAUCCUUCCAGUUGGCAGCAGCCAGAGGCGCCAGGAUGCCUGCAUCAGGGUAGUCAACCAGCAGCUCCAGAGAUGAUGUCUUCAGUAGGGCUUUGGAUUCUACAACCACGACCAGCACUUCCAGGGAGGAGGCUUCCUGGCAUGGGACAAUCUUCAUCUCUCUCCUAGAGGUAAGCAUCUGUUCUCCUUCAGGUUGGCUGAUCGCCUCUGAAGAGCUUUAAACUAGGUUCGAAGGGGGACGGGGAACCAGUGGUCAAUGAGAACCAUGGGUUGGAAAGCCACAAACAAGG
Gavialis gangeticus (Gharial) is the source of this 4414-nucleotide long non-coding RNA. RefSeq lists it as uncharacterized. NCBI's taxonomy places the organism in Eukaryota, Metazoa, Chordata, Crocodylia, Gavialidae. The record is from RefSeq and is a predicted model, not a curated record. The transcript is spliced from 4 exons.